AAAAACAUAGNUUAAAGAACUUUUUUAAGUAACCCCCGCCCGGUGAUUUUUUUUUAACGGCCGCAGUACCCUGACUGUGCUAAGGUAGCAUAAUAAAUUGGCUUUUAAUUGGAGUCUAGAAUAAACGGGGUUACGGAAAUAAUCUGUCUCAUUUUAAAACCCUUAAAUUAUUUAUAAGGUGAAAAUACCUUAAUUUUGAAAAUAGACGAGAAGACCCUAUGAGUUUUUAGAACAGGGAAAAUUCUAUUCUUUUUACUGGGGCGGUAGGGAAUCAUAAAACAUUCCUUAAAUCAAGAAUUUCUAGAAAUUUAAACUACCUUAGGGAUAACAGCAUAAUUUUUUUUUUAGUUUGUGACCUCGAUGUUGGACUAGGAAAUUUUAGGAAAAGUAGUCCUAAAAAAUGUUCUGUUCGAAACUA
This 418-nucleotide ribosomal RNA is filed under the name Veronicella cubensis. RNAcentral's name for it is "partial 16S ribosomal RNA". It matches the Rfam family "Bacterial large subunit ribosomal RNA", at positions 1809 to 2590 of the family's 2925-position model. The record is from RNAcentral. Lineage: Eukaryota; Metazoa; Mollusca; Gastropoda; Systellommatophora; Veronicellidae.